RNAcentral lists this microRNA precursor (166 nucleotides) under Prunus dulcis (almond). RNAcentral describes it as "sRNA ncRNA". The record is from RNAcentral. Lineage: Eukaryota; Viridiplantae; Streptophyta; Magnoliopsida; Rosales; Rosaceae.
GAGUGAAUAUGAUAUUGAGAGGGAAGAUGAGAGGGGAGGAGGAAGGAAUGAGUAACAAAAGUGAAAACAAAACUAAAAACUGAAGUCUAUUUGAAAUUGUUUUCACUUUUGUUACUCUUUCCUCUUAUCAUUUCCUCUCAUCCUCACUCCCAUUUUCCUUUAUACU